UACGUAGGGUGCGAGCGUUGUCCGGAAUUAUUGGGCGUAAAGAGCUCGUAGGCGGUGUGUCACGUCGGCCGUGAAAACCUGCAGCUUAACUGUGGGCGUGCGGUCGAUACGGGCAUCAUUGGAGUUCGGCAGGGGAGACUGGAAUUCCUGGUGUAGCGGUGAAAUGCGCAGAUAUCAGGAGGAACACCGGUGGCGAAGGCGGGUCUCUGGGCCGAUACUGACGCUGAGGAGCGAAAGCGUGGGGAGCAAACAGG
This 254-nucleotide ribosomal RNA is filed under the name uncultured bacterium. Its description in RNAcentral is "partial 16S ribosomal RNA". It matches the Rfam family "Bacterial small subunit ribosomal RNA", at positions 524 to 776 of the family's 1533-position model. The record is from RNAcentral.